GGUUAAGCGACUAAGCGUACACGGUGGAUGCCCUGGCAGUCAGAGGCGAUGAAGGACGUGCUAAUCUGCGAUAAGCGUCGGUAAGGUGAUAUGAACCGUUAUAACCGGCGAUUUCCGAAUGGGGAAACCCAGUGUGUUUCGACACACUAUCAUUAACUGAAUCCAUAGGUUAAUGAGGCGAACCGGGGGAACUGAAACAUCUAAGUACCCCGAGGAAAAGAAAUCAACCGAGAUUCCCCCAGUAGCGGCGAGCGAACGGGGAGCAGCCCAGAGCCUGAAUCAGUGUGUGUGUUAGUGGAAGCGUCUGGAAAGGCGCGCGAUACAGGGUGACAGCCCCGUACACAAAAAUGCACAUGCUGUGAGCUCGAUGAGUAGGGCGGGACACGUGGUAUCCUGUCUGAAUAUGGGGGGACCAUCCUCCAAGGCUAAAUACUCCUGACUGACCGAUAGUGAACCAGUACCGUGAGGGAAAGGCGAAAAGAACCCCGGCGAGGGGAGUGAAAAAGAACCUGAAACCGUGUACGUACAAGCAGUGGGAGCACGCUUAGGCGUGUGACUGCGUACCUUUUGUAUAAUGGGUCAGCGACUUAUAUUCUGUAGCAAGGUUAACCGAAUAGGGGAGCCGAAGGGAAACCGAGUCUUAACUGGGCGUUAAGUUGCAGGGUAUAGACCCGAAACCCGGUGAUCUAGCCAUGGGCAGGUUGAAGGUUGGGUAACACUAACUGGAGGACCGAACCGACUAAUGUUGAAAAAUUAGCGGAUGACUUGUGGCUGGGGGUGAAAGGCCAAUCAAACCGGGAGAUAGCUGGUUCUCCCCGAAAGCUAUUUAGGUAGCGCCUCGUGAAUUCAUCUCCGGGGGUAGAGCACUGUUUCGGCAAGGGGGUCAUCCCGACUUACCAACCCGAUGCAAACUGCGAAUACCGGAGAAUGUUAUCACGGGAGACACACGGCGGGUGCUAACGUCCGUCGUGAAGAGGGAAACAACCCAGACCGCCAGCUAAGGUCCCAAAGUCAUGGUUAAGUGGGAAACGAUGUGGGAAGGCCCAGACAGCCAGGAUGUUGGCUUAGAAGCAGCCAUCAUUUAAAGAAAGCGUAAUAGCUCACUGGUCGAGUCGGCCUGCGCGGAAGAUGUAACGGGGCUAAACCAUGCACCGAAGCUGCGGCAGCGACGCUGAUGCGUUGUUGGGUAGGGGAGCGUUCUGUAAGCCUGCGAAGGUGUGCUGUGAGGCAUGCUGGAGGUAUCAGAAGUGCGAAUGCUGACAUAAGUAACGAUAAAGCGGGUGAAAAGCCCGCUCGCCGGAAGACCAAGGGUUCCUGUCCAACGUUAAUCGGGGCAGGGUGAGUCGACCCCUAAGGCGAGGCCGAAAGGCGUAGUCGAUGGGAAACAGGUUAAUAUUCCUGUACUUGGUGUUACUGCGAAGGGGGGACGGAGAAGGCUAUGUUGGCCGGGCGACGGUUGUCCCGGUUUAAGCGUGUAGGCUGGUUUUCCAGGCAAAUCCGGAAAAUCAAGGCUGAGGCGUGAUGACGAGGCACUACGGUGCUGAAGCAACAAAUGCCCUGCUUCCAGGAAAAGCCUCUAAGCAUCAGGUAACAUCAAAUCGUACCCCAAACCGACACAGGUGGUCAGGUAGAGAAUACCAAGGCGCUUGAGAGAACUCGGGUGAAGGAACUAGGCAAAAUGGUGCCGUAACUUCGGGAGAAGGCACGCUGAUAUGUAGGUGAAGUCCCUCGCGGAUGGAGCUGAAAUCAGUCGAAGAUACCAGCUGGCUGCAACUGUUUAUUAAAAACACAGCACUGUGCAAACACGAAAGUGGACGUAUACGGUGUGACGCCUGCCCGGUGCCGGAAGGUUAAUUGAUGGGGUUAGCCGCAAGGCGAAGCUCUUGAUCGAAGCCCCGGUAAACGGCGGCCGUAACUAUAACGGUCCUAAGGUAGCGAAAUUCCUUGUCGGGUAAGUUCCGACCUGCACGAAUGGCGUAAUGAUGGCCAGGCUGUCUCCACCCGAGACUCAGUGAAAUUGAACUCGCUGUGAAGAUGCAGUGUACCCGCGGCAAGACGGAAAGACCCCGUGAACCUUUACUAUAGCUUGACACUGAACAUUGAGCCUUGAUGUGUAGGAUAGGUGGGAGGCUUUGAAGUGUGGACGCCAGUCUGCAUGGAGCCGACCUUGAAAUACCACCCUUUAAUGUUUGAUGUUCUAACGUUGACCCGUAAUCCGGGUUGCGGACAGUGUCUGGUGGGUAGUUUGACUGGGGCGGUCUCCUCCUAAAGAGUAACGGAGGAGCACGAAGGUUGGCUAAUCCUGGUCGGACAUCAGGAGGUUAGUGCAAUGGCAUAAGCCAGCUUGACUGCGAGCGUGACGGCGCGAGCAGGUGCGAAAGCAGGUCAUAGUGAUCCGGUGGUUCUGAAUGGAAGGGCCAUCGCUCAACGGAUAAAAGGUACUCCGGGGAUAACAGGCUGAUACCGCCCAAGAGUUCAUAUCGACGGCGGUGUUUGGCACCUCGAUGUCGGCUCAUCACAUCCUGGGGCUGAAGUAGGUCCCAAGGGUAUGGCUGUUCGCCAUUUAAAGUGGUACGCGAGCUGGGUUUAGAACGUCGUGAGACAGUUCGGUCCCUAUCUGCCGUGGGCGCUGGAGAACUGAGGGGGGCUGCUCCUAGUACGAGAGGACCGGAGUGGACGCAUCACUGGUGUUCGGGUUGUCAUGCCAAUGGCACUGCCCGGUAGCUAAAUGCGGAAGAGAUAAGUGCUGAAAGCAUCUAAGCACGAAACUUGCCCCGAGAUGAGUUCUCCCUGACUCCUUGAGAGUCCUGAAGGAACGUUGAAGACGACGACGUUGAUAGGCCGGGUGUGUAAGCGCAGCGAUGCGUUGAGCUAACCGGUACUAAUGAACCGUGAGGCUUAACCUUAC
RNAcentral lists this ribosomal RNA (2908 nucleotides) under Escherichia coli VL2874. RNAcentral's name for it is "bacterial LSU rRNA". It matches the Rfam family "Bacterial large subunit ribosomal RNA". The record is from RNAcentral. Lineage: Bacteria; Pseudomonadati; Pseudomonadota; Gammaproteobacteria; Enterobacterales; Enterobacteriaceae.